Molecule: non-coding RNA, 74 nt
Organism: Podarcis lilfordi (Lilford's wall lizard)
Lineage: Eukaryota; Metazoa; Chordata; Lepidosauria; Squamata; Lacertidae
Source: the annotation of a GenBank genome assembly
ACCUGGGAUAGCUCAAUUGGUAGAGCACAAGACUCUUAAUCUCAGGGUUGUGGGUUUGAGUCCCACGUUGGGCA